UAACAAGAUUACAUGCUUCUCUUACAAUCUACACCAAACCGAAUGUGAUAAUGUGACUCCAGUAUAUGGGACUUCAUGAAGUAGCCUAGAUUGGUAAUUUAGUAUUUUUCCAUCAAUCCCUCUCAGUUCCUCUCCCCUACCCCACUUUCUUUCCCUCCCUCUUUCUCUCAUACUCAGCCUCACCCUCAACCUAACCAUCUGAGCAUGGUAUUAGAGUACUGCUGCUUCUCUUUCUCUCUCUCACCCUAAAAAUCAGAGCAGAUUAUAAGAGUAGUUCUGUCUUCUUCUUCUUCUUCUUCUUCUUCUUCUUCUUCUUCAUCUCUUUCUUACACCCUAACAAUCUGCACAUGGCAUGAGAAUCCUGCUGAUGAUUCUCUCACACCCUAAUAACCUGUAUGUUAAUAAGACUAUUUCCAUCAAUUAAUAACUCUCCCCUUCUUUUCUUCUUCAGUAUUUUUGUAGGCAAACAAGAAGAAUAUAAUGAAAAAGGCACCUAUAAAACUGCUACUCUGGCACACAAAAAAGUACAGAAAGAACAAAAGCUCCCAUCCUCCAAAGAAACUUUCGAUUACCAAACAAAGAUAAGCCCUUCCCUUUCUACUUUUACUUGUCUUAAGGUUAAAUAUGAACAGCUAAAAUCCUAAACUGCUCUUUAUGAUUGCUGCAUUACACUUGUUAGCAUCACCUACUGACAAAGCAUCAUAUAGAUGGGCCAUUUUGAAAUGGUUCCAUUACAAUCAGUAAUCUCUCAUGUAAUUGGGAAAGAUCCUUUAAAUUCUCAAAGUUUGAGCAGCUCAGUAGAAAGGCUUUUAUAGUUGGAAAAGGAAGCCUACUCAGGUUUAUCUCUUGAAAAUUUUGCAGCUUUCAGUAAAUUUUUGGGGAUGCUAAUCAAAGGGUUUGAGGAGGAGAUUUUGGCUUUGCUAAGAAAAAUGGAACCUAGAAAAAUAAAAAUGAAGGCUUCAGUCUGUAAAAGAUCACAAGGCUAUAAUGUCAUCAUGCAGAGAAAGGGAGUUGAGAAAAUGUUUUGGAAUGUUAGAGGAGUUAACAAUGAGGAGAAGAGGAAGGUUAUUAAAUCUAUGAUUCAUUCUCAGAAUGUGUACUUGGCAUGCCUAUGGUUAAACAAAGGUGGAAGCUAUCUUGAUGGCCUUGGUCAGAAGCUUAGGGGUGGGCAAGUUCUUAGAGUGGAGUGCCCUUGAGGCAACAGGAGCAGCUGGAGGGGUGGUGGUCUUCUAGGACAACAGAGUGUUGGAGAUCCUUGACAUGGAGAUUAGGUUCUUAUUCAGUCUCUUGUUCAUUCAGAUGCAAUGAGGACAAUUUCACUUGGGUGUUUUCAGGGAUUUAUAGCCCUAUGGACGGGAGAGAACUUGAAGAUGUUGGGAAGCAAUUGGGGGUCCAUUAGGAGGCUAUGGGAAGGUGUAUUAGGAGUGAUUUCAAUGUAAUUAGAUUCUUGAAGGAAAGAAAGAAUUGUUUCAGAAUCUCUUAGUCCAUGAGACAAUUCUCUGACGAUAUAGAAGAUUUAUCACUGGUUGAUCUCUCAUUGACAGGGGGCUCUUUCAUAUGGUGUGGAGGGCUGAAUAGAAAAUCAAUGUCAAGAAUUGACCAUUUCCUAAUCAUGGCUGAUUGGGAGGACCACUUCACAAAUACAUCGCAAUUCCCAUUGCUGAGGCUAGUGUCUGAUUAUUCCUCCAUCUUAAUACAGGGAGGAGGGAUAAAAAAGGGAAGGACCCCUUUUAGAUUUGAAAACAUGUGGCUUAAGUUAGAGGGAUUUAAAGAUGUGGUGAAGGGCGGUGGGAAAGGUAUAAAUUUAGUGGAUCCUAGAGCUUCAUUUUGGCUUCAAAGUUGAAAGUGUUAAAGGACCUUAAAACUUGGAAUAAAGGAGUCUUUUGGAAUAUAGCAACUUGAAAGGUUUGUGCCUUGGGUCAAAUUAGCUACUAGGAUAGAAAGGAGAGGGAAGGACUGCUCUCUUUGAAAGAUAAGGAAGCUAGAAGGGUGGCAUUAGAAGAGUUUAAUCAUUAGGCCAUUUUAAAGAAAACCUCUUGGAGACAAAAAUCAAAGGAGGUGUGGUUGAAGGAAUGUGACAAAAAUAUGAAGUUUUUUCACAAAAUUGCCAAUGCUUGACACAGAAGAAAUUUCAUAAGGAGAAUUAGGGUAAAUAGAGAGUAGGUGGCAAAGGAUGUUGAGAUUUCAAAAAGGGUGGUGAAUUAUUUUUAACUCCUUUUGUCGGAUUCAGGAGGAGAGUCAAGACUGGAUAUAGAUAGCAUGUCUUUCAAAACGUCAAGCAAAGGAGUAUUCCAAUUGGCUGGAACUGGAAGAUAUAUUCAAUGAGAGGGAGAUUCACGAUGCUAUUAUAGGGCUAAAUGGGGACAAAGCCCUUGGACUUGAUGGCUUUUCUCUAGCAUUUUGGCUGCAUUAUUAGGAUUGUGUUAAGGACGAGGUCUUGGCCUAUUCAGGGAUUUUAUUUUUUCUUUUGCAAUAUGUACCUUUGAGAAAAGUCUAAAUACUACUGUUUUGUUUUGAUCCCAAAAAAAGGUGGAGUUGAAGAUUUAAAGGAGUUUAGAUCAUUAGCCUUGUAGGUAGUCUACGCAAAAUUUUAACUAAACUUUCGACAAAAUAGACUAAAAAAAAAAGGAAAUUAGGAAAGUGGUGUCAAACUCUAAUGUGUUUGCAGAAGGGAGGCAAAUCCUAAAUGCAGUUUUAAUCACCAAAAAAACUAUAUAUUCAAGAUUGAGGAGUCGUAGAGAGUUGUAUGUAAGUUAGACUUUGAAGAAGUCUAUGAUGGUGUAAAUUGGAACUUCCUAUUAGGGUGAUGCAAAAAAUGGGCUUUAGGUAGAAAUGGAUUGAUUGGAUUCAAUUUUCCUUGUUAUUUUUUUUUCUAUAAUCGAGAAACCUUCCAUGGCCAAGCCCUUAGGACUCUCCAUGGAGACCCAAACUCGAGGUGAUGACCGCCCCGCAACAACUAGCACCAAAUAAAUUCAAGGUAUCAUCAGUGGUAGGAUUCGAACCCAGAACCAUGUGCCACUUACUAGGACCACACUUCCCAGUGUUCGCCUUAACCAACUGGGCUACUCUGACAAGUUGGAUUCAGUUUUCCAUUUGAAUGCCAAUAUUCUUAGUUUUGGUAAAUGGAGUUCCUUUUAGCUUUUUCCAAAGCACAAGGGCUUUGAGAGAAGGUGACCCUUUAUCCCUGUAUCUAUUUGUGUUAGUGAUGGAGGAUCUUAGCAUUCUCUUGAGAAGGGCUUGAGAGGGUGGCUUCAUUUUGAAUCUCAAGGUAGGAGGGGGAGGAGGUGAAGGAGUGGAGAUUUCUCACCUCUUAUUUAUUGAUGAUACCCUAUGUUUUUGUGAACUUUGUUUAGGUCCAUUGAUCCAUAUAGCUUGGGUUUAGCUUUGGUUUGAGACUUCUUCAAGGAUAAAAUUUAACUUAAACAAAAGCAAACUAGUUCCAAUAGGGGAGGCCUCUAAUGUGGAGGAGCUUGCAUUGGUGUUAGGUUGCGAAGUAGGAAAGUUGCUUGUCAGUUACUUAGGCUUGUCAAUUAGAAUUAAGCCUCCUUCCUUGUAAUGUCACAAGUAACCUCUCCACCUCCUCCACCUCCCAAUCAUUGAAGGGCCUAAAGAACCUAGGACUCCAACCCCCUUCCUUGCCCAUUGAGUCCCACAACUCCACUAACCAAGCCUCUUUAGAAGUCGCUAAGGCAUACAAAGAGGGGAAAGAAUCACAAACUUGGAGCCAAUAACGAGGUGAAGUUUAAGGCUCUAUUGACGUUUUUGUAUAAGAGAUUGAGACCUAUUUUUCUAGAUGCACGAUUUAGUGUAAGAAUCGAAAUUUUUGGAAAUUUUAAGAAAAUUACCCUUUGAACUUUUAAAGUUCUCAUGAUACAUAACAUACGAAGAAAAAGGAGAAUAUUUGAAAAUGUACUAAAACUCAAAAGAUCCAUAAAAUUCACUGUUGACAAAUGAGAACAGUUCUCUGACACUAGAAUGCAAUUUGAAUUCUGUUUAAGAGAGAGGUAAUCAUCGAUGACUCAAUUAUCAGGUAAGAACAAAACAAGAGUGAAUGUAGACACAGUUCAACAGCACAGAAAGUGAAAAUCUAUGUGGCUUUGACAGAACCUAAGUCUAAUUUGUCCAGACUCCUAUGACAAUAGUUCUUUCAUUUCUCUCCCCAAUCAGAAUUAAAGUAGCCUCCAAGACCAGAUCCUAGGCAUAGCCUAAUAUUUUUGAGUUAUACAGUUCAAAACCAAGCACAUGAGGACAUUAUCCCCAUAACAUCUAAUGUCUAUGCUCAUAAUAAACAGAAAAAGUGAGACAAUCAGCUGAUUUUCUUCUUCAACUAAACAUUUGCCUACCUUUAAGAAGACACAUAGAUAAUAUAACUAGAUCUUAAUGUUUUAUGAGUACAUCAAGAGCAUUUCCUUUUUCAAGUGCUUACCAUAUCACACUGCAAAAGUGCCCAUAAAAAAAAACCAUAUUCCAUUGCAAGUUGGCAGAUAAAUUUAACCAUGGAGCUUUCUUUGAUCACCAAUCCAACUGAUAACACACAAUUUAUGUCAUUUGUUGAACCACUAAUUUACUGAUGAUCAAAGUAGAUUUUCAGAAGGAAGCACCAUCAAAAUUUCCUCACAUAAAAAUAAACAACUUCAAACAGAGGGUUGGCCUACAGUGGGCCUAGAAACUGGUAGAUAGUGUCUCGAUUUUCAAAACUCCUUUGUUAUAUUGAUAGUAAGGAGAAUAGGGCUAAAGAAGGAAUAUUAUGGUAUUUUUUUGGGGUAGUAUUCUGCUUAGCCUUACAUAUGUUAAAUGUGGAAAUAUUUUAUCUCAUGAAAGUCAAAGUAGCUUGAGAGGGCAUGAGAUAGUCGCUUUUGUGAAGAGAAUUUCUUAAAUAACAGUUCACUUCUUGAUUUAAGUUCUGGCUCUUAUUCAUGAUGGAGAUGGAUGAGAGCUAUUCAACAUCCACAUAUUUACUGGUAGAAAGUAACAACAGAGUCAAAUUUUCUAGACAGCAUGUAGACUUAAUACAUAAGAAUCUUAACAACAUUGAUACUGUGGAUACACAAAAUAAACUAUUUUCCCAAACUAGGGAUUUAAUUAGACAGUAUUAACAUUCAGAAAAGUGCCAAAAUGAUUAGCACCCAUAUGGUUACUGAGAAAUGAAGGGUGAGAUAUGCAAAUCUGAAAUCCUACACCUGACUUUGGUAUACAUGAUUAUGUUUAGAAACCAAACCUAUAUUUAUUUUCGUCCAAUUUAUAAGGCAAUCAAAUGAAGCAUCAAUAUCCCUCUUCAUUUGAAUAUAAGAAAACUGUCAAGAUAGCUGAUUUUGGCAAAGAAAAGUAUAUCCAAUAGGCUAUCAGGAAUAGGGUGCAAAGAUGGGAACAAAGCAGCAAGAUCCUAUAACUAAAAGCAUUUAUGGAAAUAUAUAAAGAGUGUUUAAAGAAAAUCAAGGACACUCUAUGAAAAAUACCUGCUCGGGUGUCUUUUUAUGUCUAUCUGCGAUUUCUGCAACAACCGACAAUUUCAACAUCGGCCCAUGAACUGAUCUUGACCUCCUGAAUGAUAUCCGGGGAGUUCCAGGUUCAUCUUCUCCACCUGAUCCACUAUCGGAUGGUCCAGGACCAGAAGCUGGUACUCCUAAAGGUGUGUGAGCAGAUACAUGGAUGCCCUUUGAUUGACAAAACUUCACGAGCUCAUCUUGCCUCCAGAAAGGAUGCAAUUCUGCCUAAUGAAAGCCAAUAAUAGAUCAAUCAAGAACCUUAAAUUAAAGGCCAGAACAUCAACAGGAAGAUAAAAAGGAUGAGAGGGCUUACAUGUUUGAUAUGCCAGAAAAAAACAUAAAAAAUAAAAGGUCAGAGGCAAGGAUUAAGUAACCUAAACAUUGAAGUUUCACAUUCCUAAAAUUUUGUCUCAAUAGAAGAACAAUUAAAAAAUGACAAAUUUUGCUGAAAAUAUUUGACGCUAUAACAGAGUUAUAACUUAUAUAUAAAUAUAAAAAUUACAAAUAAACAUCCUGUCGGGGAAAAAUGGCAUGGAAAUGCAAAACAACAUAAUGCAAAUAAGGUUACCAUUUUGGUCCUUUACAAAUUAUAUAAAAAAGUAUCAUUCAAUCAUUGAUUCACAUAUUAGUUUUCAAUGCCAAAAAACAGUUGGAAAGAAGUUGAGAAAUAGUACAUUCCUUGCAGAUAACCCCAAAUCCUGAUAAAAGAAUUGCUGAUACACAGCCUCAAGUUUUAGAUACCCUAAAACAUUAAAUAUCAUAGAGAUUAAGUCCAAACAAAUUUCAAGGAGGGAAAAAAAAUUAUUUCCAGUUCUUUCUCAUGUAAGAAAGAUGAAGUUUCAAAUUUCAAAUAUAAGGAAAGCCUCUAGUGAUGAUGAAUAUCUUUGGCUGAUGCCAUAGCUGGUUUUCUUUAGUGCCAGGAGACUUCUGCCAUCACACCUUCCAUAAGAAGAACCGACAAGCUCAGACAGAUUACGCAGUCCUACUAAUCCCACCAUGGAUUUCUCUAUAAAGCAUUGCCUAUAAUUAUAUAUGCUAACCACUCAAGUGGGCAACAUUUUGUAAUCAAAAGGACCAGUGAAACUCAUUUCCUAGUCUCUGAUCAAUUUUGCACUGUCUCUGAGGAGGAAAUUAUGUUCAGUUCCUUGGAUGACUUCCACAUUUAGUGAGUGAAAUUUUCUGAAAUUGCAGCCAAUCAAGAAAAGGUCUGAACCAAAGGGUGGGUACCCACCACCCAGCUACAUUGCAAGUAAAGACAACAAGCUAAUUAGAAAUGUUUGUAUGAUGUUGUCCACAGAUGUGGUUAUGCCUACUACUGUAUUGAACACCUCCAGGAAGAGUUACCAACAGUAAUUUGCCAAGUUCAUCAUGACAUCAAGGUAAAAACUCCAAAAGGUGAUGCAUUCUCCAUGAGGGGGAUGAAUUGUCAGAGGUUUGAGAUCUGAUAUAAGCACCUAAUUUGAAAUAUAUUCAUGACUAUGAAAGCUGGUUCAGAUGCGAGCAUAUUGUUAUAGUUUUAUCACUCUUUAGGCCAAUAUUUGUUGGCAAGAAAAUGAACAUAGGGAGAUAAAAUUUCACCACAUCUUUGAACCAUAGCUACCAAUAGACAGGGUAAGGAUUCUGCUUGUUCUCAAAACCCGGCAUCUUUAGAAGGAUGGGGUUGGUAAUAAAUCAAUAAAUUGAAAGUUCUUAUGCCAAAAUAUGCUAAAAUAGAUAAUUAAAAGAGAGCGAGGAUGAGUAAAGUCAUAUGGACUCACCUGAUUUACCGCGGGUACAAUCUUUGCGAAUUUAAGCAGUUCCUUAAUCUGCUGAACCCCAAAAUUGCUAACUCCAAUAGCUCGAACCAGACCCAACUCAAUCAGACCCUCCAUAGCUUUCCAUGCUUUCUUCAAUCGGUUCAAAAACUGCCUAUGGUCAUUUCCAGAAUUGGAAGGAGGAUCCGUAGCAUCACCAAACGCUGUAAUGUCUGGCCAAUGCAUCAAAUAGAGAUCUAAGUAUGUAACUCCUAAGUUCUUAAGAGAAACUCUAACAGAAUUCUCAAUUUUAUUGAGCGAAUUCAUCGUGCAGUACAGCUUAGAAGUCAAAAAAACAUCCUCCCUCUUCAGUGAACCAUUGAAAGCCUCAGCCAGUGCUUCCCCGACUUCAACCUCAUUCCCAUAAAGAUGGGCACAAUCUAUUUGACGAUAACCCUCUGACAACGCCCUUUUUACAGCUUCAACACAAAGGUCCCCUCCACUCUGCCAUGUCCCCAGACCUAUAGCAGGAAUUUUUGCUUUGGUAUUCAACAGGAAGUAGGUUCCUGGUGCCCCGCCCUUUCCUUUCAUCCCCUCAAGCCUUUUGGGAUGAACAAAUACGCACACAAGAUAUAGAUACUGAUCAACCAAAGAAAUCACAGUAAUGCAAGAGCCAGAGAAUCACAAUUCCAACAACGCCGGAACAAAACUGUGUUCACAAACAAAAUCCAAGGAAGAUACAGUAACCCAAAAUCUCAGAAAUGGGAUUGAGAAGCGUAAAUUCAAAAAAAACAAAAACAAAAGCAAAAACAUUAAUCAAAUAGCACCAAAAAGUAAUCCAGCAGUGUGAACGAAAGAAGACAAUUCAGCGUUCCCAGUUGAAAACAUUACUAGUUCUACUGCUAAAAAGCACACCUUCUGUUUGGUGAUUUAUCUGAAUGAAACCUCACCAAUCAAACACAAACCCAAAGUAUAAUUCAUUGACUGUACAUCAAAUUGGAACCCCAAAACAGAAAGAUCAAAGUAAACAAACAAAAGCACACACGACCCUCUAUUUAUUUCCAGGAAAUUACCAAACCCAGAAGACUUGUUCGCAAAUAAAAUAAUUGUAUUCAAAUGGAAGGGCGUGGUCAACAACGGCAGCAGAGAGCAGAGAGAGAAACAAACACGAAACAAAACCACGAGACCCCCUCUCUCUUGGAGAAUCGAUAUCAAUAAUUAAGAGUAUUUUAAUACAAAUAUGAAGAAAAUAAAGAAAGAAAACCAAAGAUGAAGUCAGAGAAAGAGACAAUAAUUUUCAAGGCAGCGCACCUAACAGAGAAGACUCCAGAUCCAACAACCACCUACCCAACUUAUAACUACAUUCAUUGACCAGAGGGAGGAUACUCCAAUGUGCAGAGUUUCAACGUGUUGAGUGAAAAAUGAGAAGAAUAUUCUCUGUUUUUCUAGGGAAAGCGAAGGGCUUUCUCGUUUCAACCGUUGGGAAAAUGGUUUUGGGUUUUGGGUUUUUGGGUUUUUGAGCAGUGUGAGGCUUUUCGAUUGAUUUUUUUUUUUUUUUUUUUUUUAAGCGUUGGCAUGCAACAUAUCAUGUCAAGUUACUGUCACGUAUAUGUUAGAAAUUUCUACGAAAAUCAUAUUUUCAAUAUAUUUAUUUAUUUAUUUAUUAUGAAAAUGAUGUUUUCAUUCAAAGAAUAUUGGAGAGGUUUUUUCCUUUUUUUUUUUUUUUUUUUUUUGUUUCUAUCAUUUCCAAUGUUUUGGUUUUGGCCACCAAGCAUGUUUUAAUGUUUUUAAAAACAAUAGGAUUAUGCAUUUUCCUAAUUUCAUAAAUUAUUUGUUUAUUAUUAAAAUUCCAGGGUGAGUUGGGUUCACCAACAUCUAAAUUUUGAAUUAUUUUUUAAGAAUAAAAUUUAUAUUUGAUUAAAAUUGAUAUUUUUAUUUAGAAUAUUUCAUGUAGAAAAAAUAAUUAUCUAAUUAUUAUUAUUAGUAAGAAAAGAAUGUCAAAGAUUUACAUAUUAACUCAAAAGAAUUUGACUUUGUUGGGUUGUUAGAUUCCCAUAAUUAAAAAUAUUCCAUAUAAAAAAUUAAUUGUCUAAUAUUAAAUAUUCAUAUUCCUAUAAAAAAAAUUCCAUAAUAAGAUAUUUCUUUUAUUAUUAUGAAAGUCCUUCUAAAGAAUAUAAAGCAUGAAAAAGUAAUUAGGUAAAUUCAUUGAUCAUAUUUUUCAUAUGUAAAUUAUGAAUUUGGAAUGUUAUUAAUGUGUUUUAUAUGUCUUUAAAUAUUUUUUUAAAAAUAAUUUGUUUUUAUAAUAAUUUAUUUUUAAUUAUUCAUAAUUGUUCAAUUAGUUUUCAAAAUAGCUCUUCAAAAAUAAGUGAAAAUAAUUAUAAAUAAUUAAAAUAUAUUCUCAUAAAAAAUUCUAUUUUCAUAAUAAGUUUUCUAAAGAUCUCUAGUGUGUUUGGAGUUUGAAAAAUAGUUUUUUAUUUUAAAAAUAGAAAACCAUUUUUAAAAAACGUUUCCAAACAAAUUUUUAUUUAUUUAUUAAAUUUAAAAUCUAAAGAUAGAUUGAGGCACCUAAAGUGAGAAGAAUAAAAAGAAAAUAAGGGUGACAAGGCAAGAGAACGGGAAUAAGAAAAGAAGAAAUGAAGAUAGGGUUAAAUUUUUUAAGAAACGUGGAUUUGAGGAAAAAGAAAUAUUUUUAUAGGGAUUUCACACAUAAUGACGGAGCUAGUUAACGCCUAGGUGGGGCAUAGGGUUUUGAACUUUGACUUUAAAUUUAAAUGGAAAGUAUUUUUUUCAUUACAUUAUAUACCAUUAUUUCUUCCUCUUUUGUCCCCUAAAAUAAUUAUUCUAUUUGUCCCUCUCUUAGAGCACAUUUCUACCUCUGCCGCUUCACACAUCAAUUUAAUUUUUUUUUUUUAAAUGGAAUUAUAUAUGAACCCAUAUUGUUUGUUUCCAACAUCCUUAUCUCUUUCCCCAAUUUUUUCUUUCAUCCACUUACCCAAAUCAAUUAUACCCAAAAAGGAGUUUCAAGUCAUUUAAGUCUUAUUCUUCCUCCUUUAAAUCCCAUCUUCCACAUUUAUUCCAAUCCAAAAAUCUCAUUUUUUUUUUCAAAAAUCUCAUUUUUUUUUUCAAAAAAAAAAAAAGAAAGAAAAAAUCCCACAUACUUGAUUAAAAUCUCAUAUUCAUAGUUGAAGUUUUCAUUAAAGGUUUGGAAGAAUAUCCCUAUUUAUUUUCAUUUUCAAAUUCUUGAUUAAAAUUUUGAUUUUUUUUCAUUAUUGAAUUAUUAUCUUUUAUGAAUUUCUACAAUAAUUUGAAUUUGGAAUGAUAAAUAGGUGGAUAUGUAGUUGUUACUUGGUGCUUGUAUCUUAGACAUAUGUAUACCAUCUUAGCAUUGGUAUGUUGGAUAGUUUGGCUCUGCCUGAUGCUUAUAUAUUUAGUGUUAGCCCCUUAGCCUCUUGAUCCGAUGUUGAAGGAAUGGGCCUCAUGGGUAGGCCUUGCACCCAUGGGAGCCUAGACGGAGAGCAAGGAUGGCUAGGAGGUUUGGUGGUUCAAACCUAAGGAGGCCAUGCGCAAGCCAAACACGCACCACGAGCGAGCCAGACACGUACUAUGCGCGCACUACGGAUGAGCCAAACAGGCACCGCGCACGCACCACGGGCAAGCCAAACAGGCACCGCAGGCGAGCCGCGCGCGCACCAGGCAUAUAUUGACUAUGGAGCUGGUACAGAUGGAGGGUAAGGUUAUUUUAGAAUAUAAUUUAUAAUUAUUUAAAUAUUUCAUUAUGUCUCCUUAAGCAUGUAUGAUGUCUCCUCUAAACAUCUUGAGAAUGGGUCUAUAUUGCUCUUUAAGGGAGAGGGGGGGUAGGUGACUCAAGGGGGCAUUAAGGGAAGGCCUUAACCGCACCAAGGGGGCACCAUGGCACGACCUUGACCGUAUCAAGGGGGCACCAUGGCACAACCUUGGGCGUGCCUAGGACACACGGAUGGCACUUAAGCACGCACACAUGGGCUCCAUGACAUGUGUGGCGUGCACCCCGUUGCAGCAAUGGCAUGAGGCCUAAUACGACCUAUCUUCUCCCCGCACAGGCACGAAGGUGUCUAAGUCUUGUGCAGCGAGCUAGUUGGGAAAGCCAUGGGUGCAAUGCCAUGGACUGAUGGGGCACUAGACAGUCAGCUGACUCGCACCCAUGAUGCUUACGCAUGGCAUAAGGGUGCAAUGCCUUGUGCACCAAGAGGGAAUAGCCAUGGGCGCAAUGCCAUGGCUCGUUGCUAUGGAGCUUGACCUGAUAAUGGGAGCUAGACAUAUGCCCAGGCCAUGGGCACCUCGACAUGGCAUGGGCUGACACAUUAGUGUGAGGAAGGCAGACUAAUGCACCAGACACUUGGUUAGCUGGUUGGUGCAUGUUGCUGGUUCAGAUGGCAGCUUGCUAGUGGCAGCAAGAGUAUGAUCAGGAUAGUAGUCAGCUACAAAGGACUAGCAGAUGGCUGCGAACUAAUGGUUGGUGCAAAAAGACACCUUGGACUAAAGAAGUGUCUCCAACUAGGUGGUUACACGAGUAGUUCACUAGCUGGGUGGUUAUACAAGUAGUUUUGGGCGGUUAUGGCAGUUGCAUUACCACCAGACUGGCUCCUUGGUUUUGAAUUUUGAAAUUGUAACUUGCAGGUUUGUCAUUUAAAAAUGAGUCUCCUGGAUCUCUGAGACAGAGCAUGAGAGCAUAGGAUGUGUCUUUGAAUGCUUAAGGGUUUUAAGCAUUAUUCUCUGACUCAAGCCAAGUGUUGAGACACUUUGGAAAACGAUUUUGUAUCUUGUAAUGAGUGAAAUAAUACAAGUUGAGAAGGGUUCCCAUAAUUAUUGUGUCAUAUUACUUUGCUUUUCUAAGGGCUGUGAAGAAAGGUUGGCUAAGGAAAGGUCCUUAGCACCGCACACUCGAAAAAAAAAAUUAACGCAAUUAUCAAGGGUGUGACAAGUGGUAUCAGAGCUUGUACUAGAGAUGGUUGGUGGUAGCGCAAUGGAAGCCUUGUGGAAAAGGAUUGCUCGGAUAGAAUAAACAUUAGGAGAAUGGCCAUGUGAGGAUGGCAUUGUGGCUUCAUGGGUAGAGCACACUAUGAGAGAAAUUCAAGUGGAGAAAAGUUUGUUGGAGAGCCAUGACAAAUUCUUUGAGGAGAAAUUUGAUGGCUUGAAAAUAAAGAUUCAGUCCCUCAUAUAUGACUUCAAAGGCGCCCUGCAGUCUUACGGAGAAGACAUCGCAGACUCAAGAAGACUGUGUUGCAGGGAUGCUCUUCAGGCCUUGAAGCCCCUCCCAAAGCUCGGGUCCUAGAGCUUAAGGGCUUCAAUGGUAACAGGAACGCGAAGGAGUUGGAGAAUUUCUUAUGGGACAUGGAGCAGUUCUUCAAGGCUGCUCAUGUUCCUAAUGGCGAGAAAGUGUCCAUUACCAGUAUGUAUCUAACUGGGGAUGCCAAACUAUGGUAGUGAACAAGGAUGGAGGAUGAAGCAAAGUCUAGAAGGCCUCAAAUCACCACUUGGGAGACUCUGAAGAAGAAAUUGAAAUAUAAAUUCCUCCCCACCAACACUGCCUAGGUGGCCAGGGAAUCAUUGAAAAGGCUUAGACAUACCAGAUUAGUGAGGGACUAUGUCAAGGAAUUCAAUUCCAUGAUGCUAGACAUAAAGAACAUGUCAAAUGAGGACAAGCUUUUCAAUUUCAUGUCUGGAUUGUAAGGGUGGGCUCAGACGGAACUUAGGAGGCAAGGAGUUCGUGAUCUCCCUACUGCCAUGGCUGCAGCAGAUUGCUUGGUGGAUUACAAGAUGGGUGGCGCCAUCUCCACCAUGCAGAAACAAAAGUUAGAAGGGGGUAAGAAGACUAAGGUUGAGGGCAAGACUUCUAAGAAGUUAUGGUGGAAGAAACAUAAUAAGAAAACUGUUGUAGGGGGAAAACCAGUGGAGAAGACCACAAAAUUUGUGCAACAGACCACCCAGAUGGCAAUGAUGUUUCAUUUACAAUGGCCCUUACCGAACUAGAGACUACCCUAAAAGAGAGAAACUCUCGGCCCUUGUGACUGCAGACAAUAAAGGAGAAUCUGACUCAAAGACCCCCCCUAGAGUUAACCCACUGCAACUCCUAAAUGUAAUUCCUGGUGAGACCCCAGUCUAAAAGUCCCUAAUGCAUGUUCAUGCGGUUGUGAAUGGUGUGCAGGUGAAGGCUUUGGUAGGCAGUGGUGCCACUCACAAUUUCUUGACCACCAGAGAAGCAACCGGGUUGGGAUUAAAGUUGGAAAGAGGAUACUAGUCGAAUCAAGGCAGUCAAUAGCAAAGCCCAUAAGAUCCAAGGGGUAGCCAAGAAUAUCCUCAUGCAAGUUGGUGACAGGAAGGGCACGUUCAACCUACUUUGUGUGCCCUUGGACGACUUCAAUUUGAUCAUUGGUGUAGACUUCCUUUUGAAGGCUAAAGUGGCCUUGAUCCCACAUUUGGGUGGAUUUGUGGUACUAGAAGAGAAAAAACCCUAUUUGGUACAGGCCUUGAGGGCGAAGGAUGGUGGUAAGAGUCAACCUGAGAUGUUGUUUGCUAUCCAGUUGAAAAAGGGAUUGAAGUAGGGUCAGGAUACCUAUGUUGUAGCCUUGAUCGAGAUCAAGAAGGGACAGUCUGUGGAAGUCCCUGAUUCAGUGGUCAAAAUCUUAAAGGAGUUCAAAGAUGUAAUGCAUGUAGAACCCCCCAAGAAACUGCCACCCUGACAACCUAUUGACCACAAGAUUGAAUUGUUGCCUGGAGCAAAGCCCCCGGCUCAAGUGCCUUACAGGACGUCUCCUGCAGAAUUGUUGAAGCUACGCAAACGAUUGAGGGAAUUGUUGGAUGCAAACCUGAUCCAGCCCUCAAGGGCUCCAUAUGAUGCACCAGUGCUAUUCCAAAAGAAGCAUGAUGGCUCUCUACCCAUAUGUGUGGAUUAUAGGGCUCUCAACAAGGUGACCAUAAAGAACAAAUACCGAUCCCCUUAGCAGCCAAGUUAUUUGACAGAUUGUCAAAGGCCACUUAUUUCACCAAAUUGGACCUAAGAUUGGGCUAUUGGCAAGUGUGGAUUGCAGCAAGAGAUGAAAGGAAAACAACCUAUGUAACUCGGUAUGAUUCAUAUGAGUUUUUGGUAAUGUCCUUUGGACUGACUAAUGCCCCUGCUACUUUUUGCAAUUUAAUGAAUGAUGUCAUGUUUGAUUAUUUGAUGCAUUUGUGGUAGUAUACCUAGAUGAUAUUGUGGUGUACAGACAGACUCUAACAGAACAUGAAAGACAUUUGAGAUUAGUGUUCCAAUGAUAGAGGGAGCAUAGGUUUCAUGUAAAGCUAAAGAAAUUUGAGUUUGCUCAGGAAGAUAUCACAUUUCUAGGACAUAAAAUCAGUGCAGGCCUGAUCAAAAUGGAUGAAGGCAAGGUACAGACUAUCAAGGAGUGGCCAGUCCCUAGCAAAAUGACUGAGUUGCAGUCCUUCCUUAGCUUGGCCAACUACUACAAAAGGUUCAUUAAGGGGUAUUCAAAUAUGGUGUCCCCCCUUACUAACCUAUUAAAGAAGGACAACCAAUGGGACUGGAGCAUGUAGUGUCAAAUGGCUCUUGAAGGCUUGAAGGAAGCCAUCUCCACUGAGCCUGUGCUACGUUUUCCAAACUUGGAUUUUCCCUUUGAAGUCUAAAUGGAUGCCUCAGAUAGGGCCUUAGGUGGAGUCUUGGUGUAGGAAAUGCACCAUGUGGCGUUUGAAAGCAGGAAACUGAAUAAUACUAAGUAAAAAUACUCCACUCAUGAGAAGGAAAUGAUAGUUGUGGUUCAUUGCUUGCAGCAGUGGAGACAUUACUUAUUGGGAAGUAUAUUCAUAGUUGUCACUGACAAUGUGGUCAACACCUUCUUUAAAACUCAAAAGAAGUUGAGUCCCAGAUAGGCCCGAUAGUAGGAGUUCCUGGCCGACUUCUAGUUUGAAUGGUUGCAUCGACCAGGAAGGCAUAACAUGGUGGUUGAUGCCCUAAGUAGAAGAUAAGUGAUUGCCUAUAUCACAACCCNNNNNNNNNNNNNNNNNNNNNNNNNNNNNNNNNNNNNNNNNNNNNNNNNNNNNNNNNNNNNNNNNNNNNNNNNNNNNNNNNNNNNNNNNNNNNNNNNNNNGCACUUUUGGGUUGCCUCGAGAUAUAAUAAGUGAUCGGGAUGCACAAUUCACAGGCCGUUUUUUGGUGGAGUUUAAGUUUUUCACAAGAAAUCAUCCUCAGACUAAUGGGCAGACAGAGAAGAUCAAUGUCUUACUAGAAGAAUACCUCAGGCACUAUGUGAUAGCAACACAAAAGAACUAGGUUGAUUUGCUUGACACUGCACAGUUGUGCUACAAUAUGCAAAGGAGCUCAGCAACAGGGAUGAGCCCCUUUGAAUUGGCUAUUGGGGUACAGCCAAUAAUGCCUUUGGAAGUGGCCAAGCAAAAGCCAGGAGAAAAUAGUCCUGCAGCAUAUAAGUUGGCUCGGUCCCGGCAAAAGAUGUUUGAUGAAGCCUAGGACAAUCUAGAGAAGGUAGCUAGACGGAUGAAGAAGUAUGCAAACCGUGACUAACGACCCUUGGAAUUUCAGGUUGGGGACAGGGUCCUUCUGAAAUUGGCUCCUCAGAUAUGGAAUAAAAUCAGUAGUAAGACAAGGCAGAGGGGUCUAAUUCCUAACUAUGAUGGACCAUUUGAGGUAAUAAAACGGGUGGGACAUGUAGCCUAUAUGUUGAAGCUGCUUGAGAGGCUCAAGCUUCAUCCCACUUUCCAUGUCAGUUUUUUGAAGUCAUACCAUGAGGAUCUAGAUGCAGAGAGGGUGCAGUUUGAUCAAGAGGUGGAGAAGAUCUUGGAUCACAGGACCAUGGGACAUAGUAGAAAGAACCGUCAAACCUAUUUCUUGGUUCAAUGAAAGGGGAUUUCGGAAGCAGAAGCUACAUGGGAGAAGGAUUUUACCUUGUGGAAAUUUGAGAAGGCGGACUAAACUUACUGGCAGACUAAGACAACGAGAGCGUUGACUUCAGCAGACGGAGAUGGGUUUGUCAGCCCCUUAGCCUCUUGACCCGAUGUUGAAGGAAUGAGCCUCAUGGGUAGGCCUUGCACCCAUGGGAGCCUAGACGGAGAGUAAGGAUGGCCUAGAGGUUUGGUAGAUCAAACCCCAAGAGUUAAAAUGAGGAGGUCAUGUGUGAGCCAGACACGCACCACAAGUGCACCACGGGCGAGCCAGAUAAGUACCGCACGCGCAUCGUAGGCGAGCCAAGCAAGCACCACACGCGCACCGCAGGCAUGCUAGGCAGGCACCGCGCGCGCACCGCAAAUGAGCCAGGAAUGCACCGCGUGCUCGCCAAGUAGGCACUGCGUGCGCAUCAGGUAUAUGUUGACUAUGAAGUUGGUGCAGAUGGAGGGUGAGGUUCAUUUUGGAAUAUAAUUUAUAAUUAUUUAAAUAUUAUAUUAUAUUUCCUCAAGCAUGUAUGGUGUCUCCUUCAUACAUCUUGAGAAUGACCUGUAUUGCUCUUUUAGGGGGAGAGGGGGGGGGGGGUAGGUGACUCAAGGGGGCACCAUGGUACAACCUUGGGCAUGCCUAGGACACGCGGAUGGCACUCAAGCACGCACACAUGGGCUCCACGACAUGCGUGGCGUGCACCUCGUGGCCGUAACAACACGGGACCUGGUGCGGCCUAUCUCUUCCUCGAGCAGGCACGAGGGCACCUAAGCCUUGUGCAGCCAGCUAGUUGGGGAAGCCAUGGUCUAAUGGGGCACUAGACAGGCAGUUGACUCGCACCCAUGAUGCUUACACAUGGCACAAUGGCACAAUGCCCUAUGCACCAAAAGAGAAUAGCUAUGGGCGCAAUGUCAUGGCUCGUUGUUGUGGAGCUUGACCUGACAGUGGGAACUAAACACAUGCCCAGGCCAUGGGCACCUCGACAUGGUAUGGGCUGACACAUCAGUGUGGGGAAGGCACAUUGAUGCACCAAGCACUUGGUCAGCUGGUUGGUGCAUGCUGCUGGUUUAGAUGGCAAUUAGCUAAUGGCAGUAAGAGUGUGAUCAAGACAACAAUCAGCUACAAGGGACUAAUGGUUGUAGACUGAUGGCUGGAUCGAAGAGACACCUUGGACUAAAGGAAUGUCUCCAACUAGGUGGUUACACGAACAGUUCACCAACGGGGUGGUUAUGCAAGCAGUUUUGAGUGGUUGUGGCAGUUGCAUAGCCACUAAACUGACUCAUUGGUUUUGAAUUAUGAAAUUUGAAAUUGUAACUUACAGGCUGGUCAUUUAAAAAAGGGUCUCCUGCAUCUCUAAGAUAGAGCAUGAAAGCAUGAGAUGUGUCUUUGAAUGCUUAAGGGUUCUAAGCAUUGUUCUCUGACUCAGGUCAAGUGUUGAGACACUUUGGAAAAUGAUUUUGUAUCUUGUAGUGAGUGAAAUAAUACAAGUUGGAAAGGGUUCCCAUAAUUAUUAUGUCCUAUUACUUUGUUUUUCUAAGGGCUGGGAAGGAAAGUUGGCUAAAGAAGGGUCCUUAGCACUACACACUCGGAAAAAAAAAAAAUUAAGGCAAUUAUUAGAGGUGUGACACUUAGCAUGUAGCUACCAUCCAACCUUGUGGUAUUGGACAUCUUAGAUCUAUCCAACUCCUUAAUGUUGGAUAUUUUUUUCUUAAAAAUUAUUAUUAUUAUUUUAAAAUUAAGAAAAAUUUGAAAUUCAUUUUUGAAAGAACUUCUCUUGAUCUAUGAAAUUACCCAAAGAGGAUGAAUAAAUCGAUGAAGUGAUAUAUCAAUUAUGAGUAAAAACAUAUAUCAAUCCCAAGCAAAAUAAAAAAUCAAUCAUAUAAUUGACAUAUGAUGUAAGGUGGAAAAAUCACUUAGGUUUUCCUAGGUGUAAACAACUAUAAUAGAACUAUUGACAACAAAUUAUUCACUAAAUAUAAAAAAAGAGUACACAGAUUUGUAGAGUCUUAUUGUUAGGAUUGAGCAUUUAAAAGAAUGACAUGAUAUAAUAGAAUAAGUUUUUAUGAAUAAAUUUAAUUAUCAAGAUUUAUGGUCUCCUUUUUUUACCCUUUAUUGCAUUACUUGCUAUUUGAGUAUUCACGUUUGUAUCUCUUGUAUUAUACUCUUGUAUCUAUUGUAUUAUAAAUUACUUGGAUGCAUUAAGAGUUGUAUAGAAGAUCCAAAUUAUGAUUUCUUGCAAAAUGAUAAAUUGUUCAUAGUUGGUUCAUGGAAUUAGGCAAUCCAUCAAAUAUUGUACUGCACUACCUUCUAAUUUAAGGGUUGACUUGCUUGGUCAUUGUGAUGAUUUUUCCAUGGUGAGUACACUGGUGUGUAUGGUUACACAUUGGACCGAACCUGUAGUGAAUUACAACAUUGACUAUCAGGUAGUCAUGAUUCAAUAGGCUACUAUAGUGUAUAAGCUCUCAACUUGUGAGAAUAUUGAGAUAGUGCUAAGGUUUUUACUGGCUUUGACCUAUAAGUGAGACCCUAAGGUAGUCAUAUAUUUUCUAUAGAUUGAAUCACUAUUGAUUAAGGCAGAUGACAACAAAUAUUCUCAAAAUAAACAACAUAAUAUCUCAUGAAUUAAGAGAGUGUAUGCCCUUGGGUGAUCCAAAGGUUUUGUGAUCAUGAAAUUUUGUAGUCAUAGUAAUUCUUUUAGUAGAAUUUGACAUGUGUUAUUUAUGAGUUAGAGCAUAUCAAUGGAUCAUAUGAUAGAAAUAUUUGAGACUCAACGAUUGGAGAGAUAAUUUUAAGAGUUUAAUAACUUCUACCUCAUUAUAUUAUGGGAUACUAGUUCAUAUGAGUCUACAUGCAAUAGAUGGUAGUUCACAGACUCAAACUUCUUAUCUCGAUGUUAUUUCAUAGGAUAUUGGAGUGCAAUUGACUUAUUUUAGUAGUGUCUUGAGUCAACUUUAGAAUUAGACUAUGAGGGAGCUAGAAUUUUCCUAUAAGUCAUAAUGUUCCCUACUCAAGCUCAUAUGCUUUGUUGGCACAAAGUCUUAAGGUUUUAUAAAAAAUUAAUCAUUUACGUGUAUAAGAGUGUUUUGGUAAAUAUAUAAAUUUGCAUAAAAUUUUAAGAUUAAUUAAUUAUAGUUUUUUUUAUUCAGUUAAUUUAUUAAUUAAAGCCUAAUAGAGUUAAUCAAUUAAUUAGGACCUAGUGAAUUAGAUUAAGUAACCUAAGCCCAAGAUGAGCUCAAGUCACUUAAGCCCACAAGGAGGACUAUUGAGGGGUAUUUGGGUUCCUUAUUCAUAUAUGUGAAUAAGAUCAUUUUCGUAAAACAUAAGAUUGCACAAGAACUUAUGAAUUAUCUUUUUAAAUCGGGUUAAUUAAUUUAUUAGGACCAAUAAAGAUAAUUAAUUAACUAUGACCUAAGCGAGAUAACUUAAAUGACCUAAGCCUAAGAUGGGCUUAAGUGACUUAAGCCCACAAGAUAUCCUAUAUAGACCCCCUUAGGACUUUAGAGAUGUUUUCGUCAUCCGAACUUUAGAGAGGAACCCUAAUCUCCAACCCCUCUAAAGAGCAUUUCACCUCCUUCUAUGCCAAGAUCCAGGAAAAAUAGUUAUCGAGUGGAAGACCUUUUAGUUUUCGAGAUCUACUAUACCUCUUCUUUAGAUUGGAUUUGAUCUGGUAAUAUCUAGAUCACAAGUAUCGCUUUCUUGUAGGGAAACCAAGAUUGCUCUAUUCCUUUACCUGGGGUCUUUUAAGCUGUAUGUAAUCUAUUCCUAUGAAUCUCUAGAUCUAAGCACAAAAAACAUAUUAUAAUAAAAACCAUAAAUAAUAUAGUCUAGAUAGAAGAACAUGAUACCUAUGAUCUGGAUGCUCCCAAAUCCAAUCUUAUCGAUAAAGUAAAUUGUACAUAUCAUAGAUCUCAUAUGCCUAAACAUCUUAUACCCGAUCAAUCCUUUCACAGAUCCUAACAUAAGAAAAGUGUGGUCUUCUCUCUAGAAGGGGGGUUAGGGUUUUUUUCUCUUUAAGGUAUAAAAGAUAUAACCAAAAGUGAAGCCUUAAACCCCAAAGAGGAUUUAUAUAAGUUUCCUCGUGGGCUUAAGUGACUUGAGCCCAACUUAGAUUUGGGUCACUUAAUCUAACCCAUUUAGGUACUAACUAAUUAAUUAAUCCAAUCCAGAAAGACCAUUCAUAAGAUCCAGCAUAAACUUACAUUUUUACCAAAACGUUGUUAUGCACACUUAUAAAUUACAAACACAAAAUUCUCUCAAACAAAUAUGCAUCCAUGAAUCAAGAACUCGAAAGAGGACUACUGAGACCCAUAGGAAAAUAUUGGCUCCCUUAGAAUCUAAUUAUGAAGUUGAUUUAACAUCCCACUACAAAGGAUCAAAUGCACUCCAAUAUCAUAUGCAUUACAACGUGACAAAACUCAGGUCCAUGACCUACUAUCCACUACAUGUAGACUCCUCAUGAAAUAAUGUUCAUACUAGGAUAAGGCGUGCGCUAUCAUCCUCUCAAGAUUACCUUUUCAAUCCUUAAGUUAUAAAUCAUUUUAUUAUGUGAUCAAUUGACACACUCUAGCACACAAAAACCAUACGUCAAAUUCCACUUAAGAAAUUACUACAAUUAUAGUUUCCUUGAUCACAUGUUCUUAAGAUCACCCAAUAAGACACACUGUCUUAAUCACAUGAGAUAUUAUGGUGUCUCUAUUGAGGAUACAUGUUAUCACCAGCUUACAUCAAUAGUGACCCAAUCCCUAGGGAAUAUAUGAUUAUCUUAAGGUCUCACCCAUAUAUUAAAGUCACAAAUGACCUCAACACAUGUUCAAUAUCCCCUCAAGGUUAAGAGUCCAUACAAUAUAAUAAAUUGGUUAAUAAUGACUAGCUAAUAGCUAAUGUUAUGAUUUAUCAUAGGUCUUGUCCAAUAUGUAACCAAACAUACUAGUGUAUUCACUGUGGGAAAACCAUCCUGAUGACCAAGACAAGUCAUCCUUCAAAUUAAGAGGUAGUGCACUAUAGUCUCUAAUUGCCCAAAUCCAUAAAUUGACUAUGAACUACUUAUCAUUUUGCAAGGAACCACUCUAAUAUCUUAAGUAAUUACAACGAGACAAAGAUUAGGUUUGUGACCUACUAUCCAUUGUAUGCAGACCUCUCUUGAAUUGGUAUUCAUAAUAUAACAAAGUAGUGUUAUCAACAUUUAUUAAGAUUACCUCUUCAAUCCUUAAGUUACAAAUUCUUUUAUUAUGUAAUCAACUGACAUACUCUAACUCACAAAGAGCAUAUGUAAAAUUUUACUAAAGGAAUUGUUAUUGUCAUAGUCUUCUUAAUCACAUGUAUUUUGUAUUACCCAUGGAGACACAUUGUCUCAAUCCGAUGAGAUAUCAUGGUGUCUUUAUCAAGAAUACCUUUUGUCACUUAUCUUCAUCAAUAAUGACCCAAUCCAUGGACAUAUAUGGUUAUUUUAGGGUCUCACCCAUAGAUCAAAGCCUCUUAUUGAUUUUAGUUCAGGCUCAACUUCCUCUAAAGAUUGAAAGUACAUGUAAUAUAAUAGCUUGGUGAAUCAUGAAAACCAAUAGUUGAUUAACACUCAAAAUUAGUGUUUUUUCACAUAUAAAUAUGGGUUUUUAAAUGAUUUUUUUAGUAUAAAUCAUUAUCUUUUAACUUAAAUAUAUGUUAAACCCCAAAUUGAGGACUAAUGUUUACAUCUAGUGAAGAAUGCAAAGAAAAAAAGGAACUUUGAUACAUAAAAGUGGAUCUCAUCACAACUUUGAUAUAAAUGAGUAGAGUCAAUCCAAGUACAAUGAGUUCAAGGUGUGAUUAAAAUGAAUUUCAAUAUCAAGCCAAAUAAAAUUCAAUACUAAGACACAAUUUUGAUGUAAGAAAUACAUUUCGAUAACACAAUGAAGAUAUCGAAAUCACCAACUUUAGCCUUCCAAAGAUCCAAUGAGUUCCAAAUUUUAUCGAAAUUAAUGUAGAUAUGAGAGAUGAAUUUUGAUACCCAUUUUGAUACAAUGAAGGUAGUCUAAUUUUCCUACAAAAGUAUUCCAAAGAUACAAAAAAUUUGAAGGUUUAUAGAAAUGAAUUUCAAUACAUUGAGAUAUGACUUUGAUACAAGUUGCAACAUUUUGAUACAUCAAUAUACCAAAAGAUACUUUCUAACACAAUUUCGAUACAAGGUGCAAAAUUUUGAUACAUCACGAUACAUAAAGAUAUAUUGUGAUCCAUGUCAAAAUCAAUUCAAUACCACAUUAGAAGCAUGCCAGAGGUCCAGAAGGUUUAAGCAUUUCUCAAAUUCAUUUUGACACCACUAUGAAGAUAUUGAAAUUUCUAAUACAAGCUAUGAAUUCUAGAAAUUCACUCAUUCACUUUCUCCAUUCAACCCUUUUGCUUGUGUUUGGACAUUUUAAGACUUUUAUUUAUGUUUUUAAGGUUAGUUUUCUAUAAAUAUUAUAGACUUCUUUAGGAACAAAGAUGAGAGAGAAAAGAAAGAGGAACUUUUGAGUUUGAAUAUAAUUUUUGUAAUCAUUUGGUUUUCAAUAAAAUCUCUCAUGAUUCAAUUUAAAUCAAUGCAUGGUGUUAAACUGAGCAUGAGGACUAAAUCCUCUCCUUGGAGAUGUAGCAAUGAAGGUGGAUGAUACAAAAGAAAGAGAUGAUAAGUAAAGGUAAUGUCUUUCCAUGGUAGUGAAUUUCUCAUCUUUAAAUUUUAUAUGCAAGUUUAAUUCUUUGCUAAUUUGUCUAUGUUAGAAAUACAUAGGAUGCAUGCUAGGAGUUCUUUCAUGCAUAAGGGAUUUUGAUAAAUGGCUGACUUGGUGUAAUACUACGUGUUUGAUAACUAAAGAGAAUCUACCAAAUGAAUAUCAAGUAUUAAAUGUCUUAAAGGUUAAAACUUUUUAUCAAAUUAGUUUUUGGAUGACUAUUAAAGAAUGGAUUUCAAGUUUUAAAACAUGGUUCCAAACUUAGAUGGCUUAUAUUGAUAGUCCAGUUUUGGAAGACCAAAAGUUCUUUAAUCAAUAUUUAUUAUAAUUGGACCACCAAAAGUUCUUUAAUCGGUAUUUAUUACCCUUCAAUCCUAGGUUCGAAAGUGAAUUUGUGAAAAUCUUCAUAUUAGUUUAUCAUUGUUUUCUGAAUUUAUCAAUCAAAUCACAAUUUCAAUCUAAUCAAUUUUUCAUAAGAAUCACUACUUGAUUUAGAUUAGGCAAAAUCAGUUAAAAUUUUCUUAUUCUCUAAAGACGAUAACCCGAAAUACUAUUAGUCAUGGUAACCCUAUUUGUGGUUUUUCUUAGCCAAGGUUAUCACAUAUUUAGGCUUUAAUAUUUUUCUUAUAAUAGAGAUAUAUUAAUCAAUAACCUUACUUCAUGAUUCAUCGUAAGUCUUAUCCAAUGUGUAACCAUACAAACUAAUGCACUCAUUGUGGAAAUCUCAUCCCAACAAUCAAGACAAGUUAUCCCUCCAAUUAAGAAGUGGUAUACUACAGUUUCUAUUAAAUUAUCCAAAUCCAUAAAUCAUAUGUGAACUACUUAUCAUCUUACAAGGAACUUAUAAAUUGGAUAUUCUGUGCAAUUCGCACUCAAAUCAUUUAUAAUGCAUGAUAUGGAUGUGAAUACUCAAAUAAUCAAUUAAUGCAUAAGGAAUAAUAAAAGGAACUAGAAACAUAAAUAAAUAAAUGUAUUAAUGAAUCAUAAUCUAUUACAUCAUGUUAUGCUUUUCAGGGCUCUAUCCCAAUAAAGGGAAUGUAUCCAAGAUGUAUAAGAAUGGAUCCUUACUUUAAGAUUCAUAAAUCUCAUGUUUUCAAAAGGAAAAUGAACUCUCUAAUAAAUCUAUCAGGAUAUGAUAUUGGAUUCAAUAAAUGUUUCUUGUAAGAAAGGAUGAUUCACUAAGAUCCAAUUCGAUUAUUCAUAUAUGAACCCCUAGGAUUAGUAUUUAAGAGUGGCAAAAGGUUUACCAUGAUUGAGAAACGAAUACGAAAGAGAGUGAUUUUAAGUAAGAAAAUAUGGAUCCUAUUCUCCUUGAAAUUUGAACAUAGAACCAAACCCAAAAUAUUUUGUUCAUUCUGAACUUGUUUUCAUUAAAUUAAAAUUCAUGAAAAAAAAAUUAUUUAAUUGGAUUUUAAGGUAAUUUAUAUGAGAAUAAGUUAAACAUCUUAAGUCUUUACAACAUUAGGUACCAUAGUAGUAGUCUUUCUGAGAUAGACUAAACUACUAUCACUAUAGCUAUUUGUUUUCUUUCAAUUUUUUUGGUUUGGAAAACAAUGGCAUAACUAGCAUUAGUUUACUGUAAAAACCUCUUAUCAACUACCAUAAUAAUUCAAUUAUAUGAUUGAUAGUCUCUAAAGGCUUUAUAUAUAUUUUAUGAUGUAGCUACAAAAUACUUAUAUGGAUCCACAUAUAUGUUAAAAUCCCUUAAAGAUUUAAAAUGCCUGAAGCAAAUACUUCCCUGAAGUAUCUGAAAUAAUGAUUGAAAACCUCACAUCACAUUCUAGAUCAAAGCAUGACAAUAACAUACUUGAUCAUAUUACGUCAUUGUAUAGAUUAAAAUGGGGGUUUGUAACUCCUAAAGACCUCAUAAGAACAGUUAAUUAUCAAAAAAAAAAAAAUUGAAAUGAAGGAUCUUGAAAAUCCAACAUUUUGUCUUAGCCUAUGAAUCAAUUUUUUUCCAUUAAUGGCAUGUUAGUCCAUCAGUUCACACAUACAAAGAGUCCUUAAUUAUUUUUCUAUAAACGAAUCACACCCACUUUGUUACCUUAUGGUUGACCAUUCACUUGAAGUGAACAAGCACAUGUUUCAUCCUAAAGAAAAGAAAAUUAAGAACUACUUAGUUAAGAAUCAACCAAUGAUGAAAAUGUCAAGAUAUGCCAUGAUAUUUCCAUUAAAUCAGCCAUUUUUCUUCGAUAUUUUGGUUGGCACACCGAUAUAUCAGUGCCACAUCAUCCUCAUUUCCUUUUUUUCCCCAAAAUUCUUUUAAUGGGCCCAACCAUCAGCCCAACUCAUUCGCACCAACCAAGCUUUUAACCCCACACUCACAACUCCCUACCAUCACCAGUCAAUCACCCAUGUUUCACAUAAUAAAAUAUACGUAUAUACAUAUAUAUAUAUAUUAUAAAUAAAUUAGAAUAAAAUUAUUAUAAAUUAAUUAAUUUUGGUUAUUGUGACUUUUAUAUAAUAAUUAAAUACAAAAAAAUAUAAAUUUUUUAAUAAAAUUAUCAAAACUUUAAAAUAAAAAAUACUUAUACAAAUUAUCAUUAUUUCUUUUAUGUCACUAAAUACAUCCAAAUUAAAUGAAUAUACAUAAAGUAUGUUUUCAAGUUAUAAACAUUAUUAUUAAAUACCACAACUUAUAUUAUACAUACAUACAUAGAUAUAUAUAUAUCAAUUUUAAAAAAAAUAAAAAUAAAAACCCAAUAUUUCUAUUUUGGAACUUUUCACAAUAUUUUCAUAAGUUUUGAUCAACUUUUAACUCAUCAAUAUUUUAUAUCAAAAUAUUCGUUGAUAUAUCUUUGAUAUAUCUGCAAAAUUAAAGUACUGAUAUAUUCAUAAUUAUCGAUAUUUUCAUCCUUAGAAGUAACAUAGUGGAAUUAGGACACUUAUAUAACUUGCAAUCAACACAUAACCAAAUAUUGCGUUUUCUAGCAAUUUAUCAAUAAGAUAUAGCUCUACCCGUAUUCAAAGAUAGUGAAGUGGUAUCAAACACAUGCUACAAUAUCUUUGUGGAACAACUAACUUGGGCUUAUUAAAAAAAUUAGAAUUGUGAUUGUUUAGAUAUGCAAAUGUUGGUUAUCUUUUAAACCCCCCAUAAAGUUCAAUUUUAGACAAACUAUAUAUUUACAUGUGGCAAUAUUGUUAUAUCAAGGAGAACAGCCAAGCAACCAAUCAUUCAAAAAUACUUAAGAUUCUUGAAGCAAGUUAUGAAUGUAUUGAAUUAAGAUCUAUGAUUCAACAUGCUUGAGAGUUAUGUGAAUUAUCCUCUAUCAAAGACAAUCUAAUAGUAUUGCAUAAAGACAAUGUUGAAUCUAUUGUGCAAAUCAAAGGAGGAUAUAUUAAACAUAAUCUAACUAUGUAUAGUUCAUUGAAUUCUUCUACACUCAUGAGCUUCAAGAGAGCAAUGAAAUUUAUGUUCACCAUAUACAAAUCUACUCAUGAAGACAUCAUUGUUUGUUGCAUUGAAAAAGCUAAGACACAACAUUGGAAUGUAAAUGUUUAAAGAUUUCCAAGCUAUUACAAUAAAGGAAUCAUAAUCAUAUUUACACGAGGGAGAGCAUAGUAACAUGGAUGUCUUAGAAUGUUGUCCCAUUGGGUUUUACCAACAAACUUUUUAACAAGACAAUCACGAUAGUCUAAUAUUAAACUUUUUUUCCUUCAAUGGGAUUUACCUUUCAAAUAUCCAGGAUAUUAGAAAAAUAUUUAUUAUAAUAAUUAUGAUUAUAACCUAUAAGUAGGGUUAAAGUUAUUGGAAAUAAACAAUUUCAAGCUUUGAUUUUCUCUUUAUGUUUCUUUGUUUUUACAAAAAUUUCUCUUAAUUUUUCUCUUUUAUCUUUCUUUGUUUACAAAAAUUUCUCUCUUGUUGGGCAGAGCUGUUAUGAAAUUUCAUUAGAAUUGGUCUUUUAGAAAAUAAGCUUUCUUAUUAGUUUGGAUACUUUUAGAUAAAAAGAAAAAACCAUUAUGAAAUCUUUUCGAUUUGUAUACAAAAUUAUUUUAUAACUAAUGUUAAAAUUAUCCAUUUAAAAACAUAAUGUGGAUUAAAAUGUCAAAUAUAAUGCGAUUGCUUUUGGAUUACUUCCCAGUGAGAUAUGCCAAGUUGAGCUAUAGCUCAUGCGGAUGACCUUUACUUUCAAAUUCUGUUAUCUUAUUGGUGAAUUAACUAAAUCCAGUAAGUAUGAAUUUUUCCAGACACCCCCUUAGACUUAGGUCUUGGCCUCUGCUCUGUCUAUGAAAAACAUGAACAAAUCUACUCUUCAAACCUGUUUGGAAUACGAGAAUUCUCAAAACCUACCAUUCAAAAUGUUGGGGGUAGAAGACAGCCAGACUGGCAGGUAGGAAAAGAUGGUGAAAGGUCAAUGCUCACCUCCCAGUCCACCUUCUCAACCUUUAUCAUCUCCGCCCCUCCCCCAUUUCCGUCCCUUGCAAACCUCCAUUUCCGAUUCAGAUUCAACACACACAAUCCUUCCUUCGGAGAUGGAAGAUAAAGAGAGAGCGAGCAGAGUUGACGAGUAAUAUGAGAGCCUAUUGCCUUUCCAGGUAUGUUCCGUUGGGUCUUUGCAACUCUCAUGAAUUCUCUUUCUAAGCAAUCUGCCAUAACCAAUUCGUUUCUACCACCCAACUUUUCCCAGAAGCGGAUAACACCUGAACCCAAUCAAUAAUAAUAUGCUGAAUAUAGAAAUAUACCGAGUAUAGUUUUAGCAAGAAUAUCACUGCCAUUUUUGUAAAGCUUAGAGGUGGUGGUGGGGAUUGAACAAGAAAGAAAAAUGGUUGACACUAGUUAUCACAACAUCGCAACAAAUAAGUUUUUUUUUUUUUUCUUUUUCCUUUUCCUCAAUCCCCUUUCUUUCAUGAAUAGAAUGAUCACUCACAAGUGCUUUGUAAUGACAUUUCACAGAAAGAAAAGCAUCAAUAUAAGAUCCAAAGCAAAGAUGAUCUCUCACUAAUGUCACAACAUACUCUUCACAAUCCAUAGAAGGCCACUUUUUUUUCCAAUAGAUAUAAACCUCCUACUGAGAACAAACUGAAAUUUCAUAAACUAUGGGAUAGGCUCAUCACUCCAUAUGUAGAAUAAACAAUUUUAGCUAUCUCCCACCUUGUCAUUUGUUUUAGAGGUUGGUUAACUGCAUCUAAAAAUGGCAAUCCCAUCCACCAAUACUCCCUUGCUCAGGAAGUUCGUUUCUGCCAAAUAUAAACCCAAUCCUCUUAGCGAAUAGGAUGAUAUUGUGUGAUACCACGCUUUGGAGGCAACUUCCUCAAAAUGAAAAGGACCAGAGAUGAAGGCAGUAUCUCCACCAACUGUAAAGGUAGGCAAAAGCACAAAAAAAAGGCAAAGGAAAUAAGGAAAAAAGAAAACAAGUAACAAUAUUAAGAGAAACUAUAUGAAAACAAGAUUAUAGGAAGAAAACAAGAAACAAUAUUAAGAGAUAUAAACUAUAUGAAAACAAGAUCAUAGUCCACAAUACCAAGUAUAGACAGUAGUAUAUAUCAAAACUAUAUUCCCUUUUAAAACCACAAGGCAGGCGAGAAUCACCCUCUUCACAGACAGGUUGCAACCUAAACCAAGAUGUUGAAUGGAGAAACAACCAUCAAACUUCCCUGUAGGCAUCAUUCACCAUCAUUAUGGGCCACCAAUUGCGCGCACGCGCGCGCGAGAGAGAGAGAGAGAGAUUAAGGGCAAGAAGUAUAUGCCAUGAUCUGUUCUCACCUGAGAACUUUCAUGAUUUCUCUGUGUGAGAGAGAGAGAGAGAGGGAGAGAGAUUACGGGCAAGAAGUAUAUGCCAUAAUUCUUCAUGAUCUGUUCUCACCUGAGAACUUUCAUGAUUUGUGGGUGUGUGUGUGGGUGAGAGAGAGAGAGAGAGACAGAGAUUAAGGGCAAGAAGUAUAUGCCAUAAUUCUUCAUGAUCUGUUCUCACCUGAGAACUUUCAUGAAUACUCGAAAUCCCAUUACAUCAAGUUCUUCAACAAAUGAGGUUCAUGCCAAAUUGUCAAUAGCCAAGUUAUCCUCAUCCACAUCAUGGCUUACCAGACAAUCACACUAGUCAAGAGGAAAGACAUGUCUCUUGCUUAAACACAGCAGUGGUCCAUUUUUAGCCCGUAUAAAAAAGGCAGUCCAUGGUUACAACAUAAAUCAUGCAGUUUAGGACUCGAAAUUGUAUUAAGGGAGAGGGUAAAUUGGACAUCAUGCAAAGACCUUUGAUUUAAGCAUUCAGCUUUCACACAUUAAAAAGGUUGGAUAUGUUUUCACUUGAUGACAUGCCAAUAAGUAUCAACUAGAACCAUAGCCAAAAUUGACCAAAUAAAAUCGAUUUUUUUUUUAUCAGAAACCAUAAAAAGAAUUUAUGAAUGAAAAAGCACAGCAUGGAAGGAGCAGAAGUCCUUCCAACCAAAACUUACCAGGUAAUAUAUAAAGUUUAGAAUUGGGUGAUCCAAAACAUCAAGGUUUGCAGCUUGAUCAAACGCAUUAAAGCACAUCUGUCAUGUAGAAAAUUAAUAAUAAAAUUGUCAGGUAAAAUAUAUUGAUAAACAAAUGUCAUACAGCAGUAAGGUGCUGAUUUUGUGCUUUGACUCUUAUAGCUGGUGCUUGGUUUAAAACACCAGAGGCCCAAAAUAAUUCUAUAACAAUAAAUUAACUUCAGUACAUAAACCAUAGCUCUACACUAUAUAGAUAGUGCAUUCCAAUAUGCUUGUGAUUUACAUAAGCAUCUAAGUGGCUACCCUAGUAGUGCUGGUCUAUAAUAUCUAAAGGCACAAAGGCCUCUCUUAGAUCAAACAUCUAGAAGAGUUUAUGUAGCAAUUGAAGAGGACUCACCAUAAUGCAUCUAACAAGGAAACAUGAGAAACAUAUGGUGGUGACGUAGCCAACCUGCACAAAACCAAAAAUUCAGAAUGUCAACAUGAAAACAUAUGGAAAUCCAAAAACUACAAGUAAUUAAAAGAAUUUACCUCUUGCAGCUUCUUACGUCUUCCUUUUGACUCUACAGGAAAGCGCUGUAGCAUUAAGAAGAGCCUGUAAGAUGACGGUUGGAAGAGAGCGAGGUCAGGAUGUUACAUAAGGUGUAAGUUUAAGACAAAGAAGGUACAUAUAAAUAUUUAUCAGCAUGCAGUAUCCAUCAAAGAAACUUACUACCUAAUAGGGAGUCAAAUGGGAGAACCUAUAUAUAAAGAUGCAAUCACAAGAGAUAAUUCACUGCACCUAAUGAUCAAUAUAAAGGUAUCAAGGGGCCAAAUAAUCUAUUCUAGUUUUUUACGUGACCUUAAGCUACACAUAUGUUAAUCUAAGUUGAUACACAUUAUUAGAGUUCCUUUCACAAAGAGAAGGCAGCUCACACCCCAAAUUGCCACUAUAAUUUUUGUUCUACAUGGCCUUAAAUGCUUCAAUAUCAACCCACUGCACGCACAACAUACUUAGCAACAAGAGAACUUGAGAUUUGCAUGUAAUAGCAGAAACCAAGAGAAGCCAGCUUAGCACUAUAUGGUCCAAAUUAAGGUGAAACCUUAAACCCUUAAUAGUAAGGCUUGGCUAGAAAGUGCAGAGAACGUAUAUAAUCCAGUAACUCCAAUGAAACAGUCACCUGAAGCUUAGAUUGGACAUUAGAGGAAAGUUGGACUGUCAUUAUAAGUGAAGUCAAGCAAAUUAAGCAAACUAUACUUUGCUCCUUAGUGCUCCGAAAGGAGGUUCACAGCUCUUAUUGUGUAUGCAAAUGAUCAUCAUGACAGGAAAUAAUGAGGAAGUAAUAUGAUGGUUAAAAGCUUCAGUGCUAUGGGAUAACUUGCGAUAUUUAAAACCAGCGUGUUUUUCUCUUUGAGAAAGUAUUGGAUCUCCCAACAAAGACAGUCAUCCUACAAUGUAAGCCAAUUGACACUCCAAUUACUCAAAAUCAUCACCUCUAUGAAAUGUUGAGCCCUUCUGCCAACAGGAUGAUAACCACACUUGAGAGGAACUUAUUUAUUUUUCACACAAUUGGAGGCGACUAAUAAAUUAUAAAGGAAGCACAUUUGGAGAGCAUGUCAUAAAAUUUUAAGGUACUUAAAACAACAUCACUUGACUGGUUAGCGGUGUGUAAUCCCUAAGGAUUGGUCUAACCUAGAGUGUUCGCUUGUUUUACUGUGCACUUUCUUGUGUUCGUAUUCUUGUAAUUUAGUUUUCUUUGGUGGGAGGAUUUCUCAUCCUUCUCUUGUACUUCUUUUUCUAUCAAUAUAUCUCUUUGUUGUUUCCUAUCAAAAAAAAAAAGGUACCUUGUUUAUCAGGUACAGUCAUCUGACUGCAGUGUCAUACAUGGAUGUAGAUUGGGUGAAGAUCAUUACUGAUUGGAGACCCACUUUUGGUUGUUAUUGCACAAUUAUUUGUGGAGAAUGUGGUAAAGUUGUGAAAAAUUGAUCGGUUGCGAGAUCUAUAGUCAAGGCAAAGUUGAGAGUAACUGCAUAUGGAGUGUCUAAGCUCCUUUCAUUUAGAAUUCUGCUAGGAGAAAUGGGUGACUUUUUUUUCCUUUUUUUUUUUUUUUUUGAUAACCAAUUGUAUUAAAAGUGCCUAAAGAAUACAUGAUGUAUACAAGGCCAAAAAAAGGAGGGAUAGACAAAAAACAAACACUCUCGCUUCACUUACAGCCCAACGAAUCUAUGAAAUAUAAAAGGGACAAAGAAGUAGACUCUAUAUGUGUACCCUAACCCACUCCAAAACCAUGUACAUGAAGGAUCGUAAAAUCGCAUGGUCUGUUAGUUUAGAAUCCUCAAAAGCUCUUUGAUCCUCUCCUUCCAUAAUGUCCAAAAUAGACACAAAGAUGCAGCUUUCCAAGCCUUCUUCCUCUUCUUCCCAACAAAGGCACCCUGCCAACUAAUGAGGGCAUCCUUGAUUAAGACCGGCAUCACCCACUGAAGAUCAAAUAUAGCCAAAAUAAGGUACCACAAAAUGGGCGACUUAUCUAAAGAAUCUGUGAGAUUGUACAGAGACACCAAAGCUGCCAUCAACAUUGUACAUAACCUAGCUCACAAUAAUAUGGUGAAGGAUAUCAAGGUGGAUCAAGAUAUUACAAAGGAAGAGUUGAAUCUGGUCUAAUUCCCAAAGUGUUGUAAGGAUUACGGGUUAACCUACAAGUGUGAUAUAUAUUAAGGUGGAUCAACAUAUUAUAAAGAAGUUGAAUUCCAAAUUUAUACACCUUUUGUGACAAUGAGAUCCACCAGUCAAUUUGCUGAUGUGUUGAUAAAUAGAGUAUAAAAUGCCAAUUUUAGUACAUUAGGCAAACCUAGGCAUUCAUGACUUGUACAAACCAGCUUGAGAGAGAGUGUUGAGAAGGGUUUCCGUUAUUACUUACAUAUUCUCCUUAAGUCUUCUGAGGUUAGCUAAAUAACUUGCACAAUUUUACCAUGUAGACACAAAGCUAAGGAGGGAAACCUACUCAGUAAUCAAACCCUCUUGACAAUCUUGUCACAUUCUUUCUUCCCCACUUCUAUUCUCUCUUUCUUUCCACACCAUUUCUUACAAGUUAACACAUAUCAAACAUUCCACAAGCUUUCACAGGGAGUGAAUCAAACCUAAAUUUCUCUCUGAUUGCUUACACAUUUUGUGGCAGGUGCAAAUAGCCACUCAUCCAACCCUGAAUUCAAACUAUCCCAUCCCUUCCCCACAUUCCUCCUCCCCCCACCCCCCUUCUUCCCCAUCUCUAUUAUUUGUUAUUUCAUUUUCUUUUGAAACAUUAAGGAAGGUGUCUCCACUUCUGGUCACAGGCACUUGAGGACUUCAAUGCUCCCUACUUUCACUAGUUGAGAAGAUAGUUGUUAGAGUGCACCUAGGCCCAAGGCAUAACCACUCCCUAGUUAUAGGGUCUUGUUGGAAAGGCAUGCAGCUACUUAUCUUUUCCUUUUUAAACACUUUCACUUUUAAAAUUUUUAAUUCUAUAUUGAAAUUCAUAUAAUUUUAUUAUGCUUUUGUUGAAUGUUUCUUUAUGUUUGGAAUCUUAAAUUUUUUGUUACUUGGAUUGGAUUUUGGAUCAUAUUAUAUAAAAUAGAAAUGAAUCCUAUGUCUUGUUUCACUUCACUCAGGCAUGCACCUUAUAUUGCACCAUGUGCCUAAGCAUCAAAAGACUUUUAUGCCUUAGUUGCACCUUGCACCUUUUAAAUAUUAUGGUCAAGAAACUUAUAGUAUCACUAUUUUACUAGCAGAUAGAUUCAACAGCCCUAGGACCAUAAAAAGACCCAUGCAAAUGAUCUCAUUGGUGGGAGUACACCUGUUGGCAGGCACUCAGCUUUCCACAUGGUUGUGGAGCUGCAAAAGAACUAGAGUAAAGCAUAGGAUUGGUGGGUGAAGCAUUAAAACAGACCUGGUGGGCUGGGUUAUAUAGUUUAUUUGAACUUUUGCAAUUUAUUGCAGAGGCACCUGUGGGUCAAUGAAUCAAGGGGCUAUUUACGUUAAGGUUUGCAUGUAUCAUGUAAUGGGUGACAGAAACAUUCUGGGAGACUUAAGUGUGACUUUACCUACAAUAACAAUUCGAAAGUGUAAAUAGUUCACAUGUGAGCCGUUUAGCAUUUAGGUGUUUGCAUUAUAUGAGUUUUGAGCACAUAAAAUCAGUGAACUUGUCUGAGUUGAUCCUACAACAGCAUUGGAGGUAAAUAGCUUCCAGUAUAUGUAUCUCUAAUGGAAUUUCUCUCUCAGAGGCGUCUUUGCCAAAGAUUUCCUGCUGCAACCAUAUAUACAUUCAGGUAAUUCCAAGAUUCAGAAAUUUUAGUGGGCAACCAAAUACUGAGAUUACCUUCCUCCAUAAAGAAGAAACCCAAGGGCUGCAAACAAAGACACACCUGCAGAUAUUUGUUUAAAAGAAAGUUGUAUCAGUAAUCAUCAAGAGGAACUACUGAGAAUUGCAACAAAUCAUCUAUUGUGUAGUGAAGCAAAACCUGCAAAGAACAUCUUAGAUAGGAUGAACACGAUUGGGAUAGGUUUCCACCAUAAAACAAACCACAUAGCAAUCUGAAAACAGUUCAAGAAAAGUGGUAGUCAAGAAAUUACCAUCAUCUUUAUACACAAAAAGAAAGCAGCUGUACAAGUAAUAAUGGCUAUGUUCGUAGCAGAACUUCUAACAUGCAACUGGUGUUGUAUAGGCAUGCACUUAGCACAAAUAAAAAAAUCAAGAAAAUAAAAUGAACACAUUAAUAUAAGCAACAACAUUGACAAGGGACAGACAAUUAUUAAAUGACCAGGAUACUCCCGGCCGUAUGCUGUUCUUAAUUCAGCUCUUCUCUAUAUCGUCUGCUAAAAGGGGAGAACAAGCAUUACUGGAAUACGUUCCGAAGCAUAGGAGUGCCAUUAAUUCUUAAAACCAAGUAAUCUUGUUCUCCUAUAUCUAAAAUUCCUAGUUAUUCCUAUUGCUGUUGAUUCAGGUCCAACCAAUGGUUUUCCACUAAGGGGUUCAGGCUUACACUCUCUUAUCCCUAAUUAAUUUUCUUAUCAAUCAGCCUCAGCAAGUUAUCAUGCAUUGGAAGCCCAGAAAUCUAAUGUGCAGUUGUUAAAGGAGCCAAUAGGGCUUAUUUGAGCCUAACUGGAAUGUUUUUUCAUGCUUGGGAAAAUGAGAGAUCUAGAGAGGCCUAGGAACUUAUUAAAUGGCCUCUUGAAAAGAAAAGGUUAAAAUGGGCCUUCAUGGUUAAGAACAGGGUGGAUGGGAAUAUGGAGGAGUGCAAGACCAGAUCAGAUAGCAACUUCAAUCAUAUCCUCCCAUUUACAAAGUAGACAAUCUAGGCUGGUCAUUUUAUUAAUUUGAACUUUAAUUUUAAAUAUCCAGUUCUGCAGGGUGAUCUAAAAGAGAAAUGCGUCUCUCCUAGGAUAUACAGAGCUAUAUACCCCAGUAUCAAUAAGCAACUCCAAUUAUAUCCUCUGAUUUACAUGUAGACAAUAUAGGCUGGCUUAUACUAAUUUGAAUUUUGACUCUUUCCUUUUUUUUUUUUUUGAUAGGUAAAAUUUUAUCCCCGUUGGGACUUAAACCUAGAACCCCCUACAAACCCUCCCCAACCCUUUACCACUAAAGCCAAGCCUAAAGAGCUAAUUUGAACUUUGAUAUUAAAAAUCCUUUUUUGCAUAGUGAUCAAGAGAUACCCCUCUAUAUCUUGAAACAUCCUUGUUGGCCGGCGUUUGUAACAUGCCCCUUAUCAGAAGAAGUUGGACAUGUAGAUAGUCAAUUGUCAAACACCCAAAAGGAAAAUAGAGCCAAGUUAGAGAACAGAAAAAGUCCAAGUGAAUUAGAAGUUCUCAAUUAAUCCAAAAAAAUUGAUAUCCAUUUUUAUAGUGAUUUUAUAGGGGUUUUUAGAAUGAGAGCCAGUUAGGUUAGACCCUAUAAGCCAAUAAGAUGGUUCUUUCUAGGCAUUUUGUUGGCAUUUUCGGAAGAUAAGGUCACACAAUGCUGGUUACCUCUCCCAAUCUGGUUGAAACAAGCUUGUCUUAAAAAACCUUUUUUGCAUAGUGAUCAAGAGAUACCCCUCUAUAUCUUGAAACAUUCUUGUUGGCCGGCAUUUGUAACAGGCCCUUUAUCGGAAGAAGUUGGACAUGUCGAUAGUGAAUUGUCAAAUAUCCAAAAGGAAAAUAGAGCCGAGUUAGAGAACAGAAAAAGUCCGAGUGAAUUAGAAGUUCUCAAUUAAUCCAAAAAAAUUGAUAUCCAUUUUUGUAGUGAUUUUAUAGGGGGUUUUAGAAUGAGAGCCAGUUAGGUUAGGCUAUAACCCUAUAAGCCAAUAAGAUGGUUCUUUCUAGGCGUUUUGUUGGCAUUUUCGGAAGUUAAGGUCACACAAUGCUGGUUACCUCUCCCAAUCUGGUUGAAACAAGCUUUGUCUGGCAGGCCUACAACUCUAACCACUAAACCAAAACCCUCAAACCAUGUACCCGAUGUUAGGUAGGUUGAGCCUAUUAUAAAAAAGUGCACAAAGCCCAUGUUAAACACAACUCAAGCAUAUGUGAAGCAUCAAAGCACUGUACUAUUAGCUUGAACAGUGAGAGGUAAUGACUUGCUCAAUAAUGAUGGAAACAUUAUUGAGCAAACACUCUUCUCAGAAAGGCGUGGAGGUAAUGAUUGAAACUAUCUCCUCUUUUUAUUAGGAUAAAAAGGGCCUAAGUGGAACCAAAAAGAGAAUGCAAGUUGUCACCUCUCAUCUCCCACCUUAACAUGCUGAGCAGUAAUUACAACUUCAUUCACCUCAUGAGAGAUCCAUUCUUAAAUGGGUAGAACUUCUCCCAGUGUCCAUCACAUAUAUUGAAAUCUUAUGGCCAGUCAAGAAGCUUUGACCUCAAUAUUACAUAACUACCAUUAUUUUAAUACAAGGAAACUAAGAGACAAUGACUACCAAAAGCCACAUGGAGAUGGAGUGAUAUCUUGCAAUCUAUCCAUAAUUGCCUGGAGUGGGACCACAUAUAGCAUGAGUCACGAUCUCUAGAUUGCAUAAAAUGUGUCUCGAUCUCUAGAUUGCAUAAAAUGUUUCACCAGUCCAAAACAUCAAAAUGG
This 36285-nucleotide long non-coding RNA is filed under the name Vitis vinifera (wine grape). RNAcentral's name for it is "long non-coding RNA (VVIN_LNC000244)". The record is from RNAcentral. Lineage: Eukaryota; Viridiplantae; Streptophyta; Magnoliopsida; Vitales; Vitaceae.